This 365-nucleotide ribosomal RNA is filed under the name uncultured organism. RNAcentral describes it as "bacterial SSU rRNA". It matches the Rfam family "Bacterial small subunit ribosomal RNA", at positions 526 to 895 of the family's 1533-position model. The record is from RNAcentral.
CGGAGGAUCCAAGCGUUAUCCGGAAUCAUUGGGUUUAAAGGGUCCGUAGGCGGUUUAGUAAGUCAGUGGUGAAAGCCCAUCGCUCAACGGUGGAACGGCCAUUGAUACUGCUAGACUUGAAUUAUUAGGAAGUAACUAGAAUAUGUAGUGUAGCGGUGAAAUGCUUAGAGAUUACAUGGAAUACCAAUUGCGAAGGCAGGUUACUACUAAUGGAUUGACGCUGAUGGACGAAAGCGUGGGUAGCGAACAGGAUUAGAUACCCUGGUAGUCCACGCCGUAAACGAUGGAUACUAGCUGUUGGGAGCAAUUUCAGUGGCUAAGCGAAAGUGAUAAGUAUCCCACCUGGGGAGUACGGGCGCAAGCCU